UGGGGAAUAUUGGACAAUGGGGGCAACCCUGAUCCAGCCAUGCCGCGUGAGUGAAGAAGGCCUUCGGGUUGUAAAGCUCUUUGAGCGGGGAGGAAGGUCAUAUCGUUAAUAGCGGUAUGAAUUGACGUUACCUGCAGAACAAGCACCGGCUAACUCUGUGCCAGCAGCCGCGGUAAUACAGAGGGUGCGAGCGUUAAUCGGAAUUACUGGGCGUAAAGCGCGCGUAGGCGGCUUUAUAAGUUGGGUGUGAAAUCCCCGGGCUUAACCUGGGAACUGCACUCAAGACUGUAAAGCUGGAGUUUGGGAGAGGGUGGUGGAAUUUCCGGUGUAGCGGUGAAAUGCGUAGAUAUCGGAAGGAACAUCAGUGGCGAAGGCGACUGCCUGGCCCAAAACUGACGCUGAGGCGCGAAAGCGUGGGGAGCAAACAGG
Molecule: ribosomal RNA, 429 nt
Filed under: uncultured bacterium
Lineage: Bacteria
Description: bacterial SSU rRNA
Rfam family: Bacterial small subunit ribosomal RNA
Source: RNAcentral